This is a transfer RNA of Ovis aries (sheep), 69 nucleotides long. It matches the Rfam family "tRNA". From Rfam's summary of the family: Transfer RNA (tRNA) molecules are approximately 80 nucleotides in length. NCBI's taxonomy places the organism in Eukaryota, Metazoa, Chordata, Mammalia, Artiodactyla, Bovidae. The record is from Rfam.
CCUGGUGGCUCAGAGGGUAAAGCGUCUGCCUACAAUGCAGGAGACCCAGGUUCAAUCCCUGGGUCAGGA